UUCUCAGUAUUUCGUUCUGGCUAGCCUGGCUAAUAUGUAGAUCAGGCCUCGAACUCACAGAGAUGCCCCAUCUUUGCCUCCAAGUGCUGGGAUUAAAGGUGUACGCCACCAUGUCUUGCCAGCUUUAGGAUUUUUGAAUUGGUGAAUUCAAUUGAUUCUAUUAAAAUGGAAUAGGUGUGCUCACAGAUAGGACCUAGUGACUGAAGAUGACUCUAUUCUUGGCUUGUUUUUGCUUUCUAUAAUACAGGUAGUUACUUUUUUAAAAGUUCAUUUAAGGGACCAGAGAGAUUGCGCAGCAGUUGAAAGCACUUGCUGCUCUUCCAGAGAACUUAAGUUUGGUUCCCAGCACCCACACGGCAGUUCACAACUGUCCUGUAACUCCAGUUCCAGGGAACCUAAAGCUUUCUUUUGGCCCCUUAGGGAACCAGGCACACACAUGGUACAUAUACAUACAUGCGGGCAAAACACUCAUACACAUAAAUAAAACCUUACUUAAAAAAAAAAAAAAAACACUUUGAAAAUACAGUAAUUGAAACACCACGCUCACACACCCCUUACGUGCAAGCCCUGAAACAAAAGACCCCAAACAGUAACACAGACAGAAAUGGUCACUCUCUAAGUAAAAUAGCCAGGCGGCCCUUAAUCCCAGCAUUCAGGAGGCAGAGGCUGGCAGAUCUCUGAGUUGGAGGCCAGCCUGGUCUACAGAGCGAGUUCCUUGACAGCCAGGGCAACUCAGAGAAACCCUGUCUCCAAAAUCCAAAACCCAGAAACAAACAAAAAACAAGGUAAGACCGUCACUCUACACGCCCGCAGUGACUCCAAGUCUGGUGUGACACACUCCAAGUUGUAAGGCUGUAAUUUCAAAUUCAGAACCUCAGUAAGCUGACAGAAGCCAACCCCCGUUGGUGCGCACGCGCAACGGUGUGCAGCAAUAGUAAAGCACAUACCACACAGGCAGGCAUUCAAUCACUGUCACGCCCUUGCAGAGCCUUACCAUCGCCUCACAGACCAACCCACACCCGGGAGCUCGUCUGGGGCGGCUUACAGUUCCCUGCGCUCUCGCACUUGCCGCACAUCUUGAGGCACAAGCGCAAAGUGGAAAGCGUUUCGCCGCAAAGCACUCUGGGGCUGGUAGUUCCCGGGUCGGACUCAGCAGCUGGUUGAGGGCACCGCUGGCCGACCUCAGCCCUCCUGCUCGCACGCGGUGACGUCACGGGCCUGGAUCACCGAGCGUGUUUCCAUAGCCUGUGGCACCGCGAGGCUGGAAGCCAGCAAGCCCCAGCAAUCCUCCUGCCUCCACUCGCCUUGGAACAGAACUCUUUCAGGCUUUAUGUGGAUGUAUGAGCAUCAUGUUGGAGCACCAUAUGGUUCAAGCUCUCAACACAUGAGUCUUUGGGGAAACAUCAACCAAGACAGAAAACAAAGCAUCUUCAAUCAAGCUUAUUGGUAUAAAGAGGACUAAAUAUAAAAUAACACAUAAAUGCUAUUAGAAUCGAUUCUAUAAGUCCAUGCUUCCUGCACCGAUUGACUUACUUUAGAAAAAACAGGCAAUUGAAGACAAGCUUUAAAUUUUCAGAACUAAUUUUGACAACCAGACUUGUCAGCACUGUAAUAUUUGCUUUCAUCCUUUUAUUAAAGAAGUAUUA
Peromyscus maniculatus bairdii (prairie deer mouse) is the source of this 1646-nucleotide long non-coding RNA. RefSeq lists it as uncharacterized. The record is from RefSeq and is a predicted model, not a curated record. Lineage: Eukaryota; Metazoa; Chordata; Mammalia; Rodentia; Cricetidae.